AUCCUGUUGCACACGGGUCGGGUCGGGUUGACUUGUUGCACGGGUUGAUCCGGGUUCGGCUGGUUGCACGGGUCACCUUGUAGCUCGGGCCGGGUCGUAGAAGGUUGGGUCGAGAUUGGUUGCAGGAGCCGAUCUGGACAGAAAGAACGUUGAUGCCGAUCUGGAAAUCGAGGAAGAGGGAUGAUUCUGGGCUGGUAACCAAGAGAGAUGCCGAUCUGGGUUGAUGAGAGACGACAGCGGCGGUUUCGGGCGGAAGACGAAGCCGACUGGACUCGAUGGGAAGAUGCCGAUCUGGGUUGAUGACAGAUGACGGCGGCGAUGACAGAUGACAGAUGACGAAGCCGACUGGGUUGAUGACAGAUGACGAAGCCGACUGGACUCGAUGGGGAAUAAACAACGAUCUGAUCUUGAUGCCGGAUCUGUUGCAGGAAGAAGAUGACUGGUCUUGACCAACGAAUACGACGGCGGUCUAGUUCUGGAGACGAAGCCGGUCUGAUGAUGAAAGUGACUGGUCUGAUGAUGUUGAAAUCCAAGAAGAAGACAAUAUAGUCGUUCUUGGAUGAGAGACAGCGAUGGGAGAAACAACACCCCUAAAACCCGACCUAGGAAAUUAGGAAGUAGAAAAUAAGAGACAAAGUCCUCUCGGAUCUUUGCUCUGAUACCAAGUCAAAUAAGACAGUA
Molecule: long non-coding RNA, 681 nt
Filed under: Rosa chinensis
Lineage: Eukaryota; Viridiplantae; Streptophyta; Magnoliopsida; Rosales; Rosaceae
Description: sRNA RchiOBHm_Chr2g0141411
Source: RNAcentral